ACUCCUACGGGAGGCAGCAGUGGGGAAUAUUGCACAAUGGGCGCAAGCCUGAUGCAGCCAUGCCGCGUGUGUGAAGAAGGCCUUCGGGUUGUAAAGCACUUUCAGUCGUGAGGAAGGUAGUGUAGUUAAUAGCUGCAUUAUUUGACGUUAGCGACAGAAGAAGCACCGGCUAACUCCGUGCCAGCAGCCGCGGUAAUACGGAGGGUGCGAGCGUUAAUCGGAAUUACUGGGCGUAAAGCGCAUGCAGGCGGCCUGUUAAGUCAGAUGUGAAAGCCCGGGGCUUAACCUCGGAAUUGCAUUUGAAACUGGCAGGCUAGAGUCUUGUAGAGGGGGGUAGAAUUUCAGGUGUAGCGGUGAAAUGCGUAGAGAUCUGAAGGAAUACCAGUGGCGAAGGCGGCCCCCUGGACAAAGACUGACGCUCAGAUGGCAAAGGCGUGGGGAGCAAACAGGAUUAGAUACCCUGGUAGCACAGAG
Molecule: ribosomal RNA, 474 nt
Filed under: uncultured bacterium
Lineage: Bacteria
Description: bacterial SSU rRNA
Rfam family: Bacterial small subunit ribosomal RNA
Source: RNAcentral